Molecule: ribosomal RNA, 371 nt
Filed under: uncultured organism
Description: bacterial SSU rRNA
Rfam family: Bacterial small subunit ribosomal RNA
Source: RNAcentral
CGUAGGGUGCGAGCGUUAAUCGGAAUUACUGGGCGUAAAGCGUGCGCAGGCGGUUUUGUAAGCCAGAUGUGAAAUCCCCGGGCUUAACCUGGGAAUGGCAUUUGGGACUGCAAGGCUCGAGUGCGGCAGAGGAGACUGGAAUUCCUGGUGUAGCAGUGAAAUGCGUAGAUAUCAGGAGGAAUACCGAUGGCGAAGGCAGGUCUCUGGGCUGACACUGACGCUCAUGCACGAAAGCGUGGGGAGCAAACAGGAUUAGAUACCCUGGUAGUCCACGCCCGAAACGAUGUCGACUGGUUGUUGGGGGUUUGACACUCUCAGUAACGAAGCUAACGCGUGAAGUCGACCGCCUGGGGAGUACGGCCGCAAGGUUA